GGAGCAGUCGGUAGCUCAGUUGUAGAGUGCAUGCUUUGUGUGGAUGACAUCCUGGGUUCGAAUCCCAUCUGCUCCC
This is a non-coding RNA of Dallia pectoralis (Alaska blackfish), 76 nucleotides long. The record is from the annotation of a GenBank genome assembly. Lineage: Eukaryota; Metazoa; Chordata; Actinopteri; Esociformes; Umbridae.